This 292-nucleotide ribosomal RNA is filed under the name uncultured bacterium. RNAcentral describes it as "partial 16S ribosomal RNA". The record is from RNAcentral.
GGACUACCAGGGUUUCUAAUCCUGUUUGCUCCCCACGCUUUCGCGCCUCAGCGUCAAUAUCGGUCCAGAGAGCCGCCUUCGCCACCGGUGUUCUUCCCAAUAUCUACGAAUUUCACCUCUACACUGGGAAUUCCACUCUCCUCUCCCGAAUUCAAGCCAUCCCGUCCCAAGCGCAAUUCCCAGGUUGAGCCUGGGGCUUUCACGCCUGACAAAGAUGGCCGCCUACGCGCCCUUUACGCCCAGUAAUUCCGAACAACGCUCGCCCCCUUCGUAUUACCGCGGCUGCUGGCAC